Molecule: ribosomal RNA, 253 nt
Filed under: uncultured bacterium
Lineage: Bacteria
Description: partial 16S ribosomal RNA
Rfam family: Bacterial small subunit ribosomal RNA
Source: RNAcentral
UACAGAGGGUGCGAGCGUUGUUCGGAUUUACUGGGCGUAAAGGGCGCGCAGGCGGCUCAUUUUGUCAGGCGUGAAAGCCCCGGGCUUAACCUGGGAACUGCGUUUGAUACGGAUGGGCUAGAGUUCGGGAGAGGAGAGUGGAAUUCCCAGUGUAGAGGUGAAAUUCGUAGAUAUUGGGAAGAACACCGGUGGCGAAGGCGGCUCUCUGGACCGAUACUGACGCUGAGGCGCGAAAGCGUGGGGAGCAAACAGG